RNAcentral lists this ribosomal RNA (402 nucleotides) under uncultured bacterium. RNAcentral describes it as "bacterial SSU rRNA". It matches the Rfam family "Bacterial small subunit ribosomal RNA", at positions 355 to 774 of the family's 1533-position model. The record is from RNAcentral.
UGAGGAAUCUUGCACAAUGGGGGAAACCCUGAUGCAGCGACGCCGCGUGAACGAUGAAGCCCUUCGGGGUGUAAAGUUCUUUCGACAGGAACGAUAAUGACGGUACCUGGAGAAGAAGCUGCGGCUAACUACGUGCCAGCAGCCGCGGUAAUACGUAGGCAGCGAGCGUUGUUCGGAGUUACUGGGCGUAAAGAGUGCGUAGGCGGCGAGCCAAGUUUGGUGUGAAAUCUCCCGGCUUAACCGGGAGGGUGCGCCGAAAACUGGUUGGCUGGAGUAUGGGAGGGGAAAGCGGAAUUCCUGGUGUAGCGGUGAAAUGCGUAGAUAUCAGGAGGAACACCUGCGGUGUAGACAGCUUUCUGGACCAAAACUGACGCUGAGGCACGAAAGCGUGGGUAGCAAACA